Molecule: small RNA, 64 nt
Filed under: Salix viminalis (osier)
Lineage: Eukaryota; Viridiplantae; Streptophyta; Magnoliopsida; Malpighiales; Salicaceae
Source: RNAcentral
GGUAGGUGUUUAAAGUCAACACAUUGUUCAAAACAUGGAUCUCGAUAUUUAAUGAAUGAUACCA